UCGAGAAUUUUUGACAAUGGGGGAAACCCUGAUCGAGCGACGCCGCGUGGAGGAUGAAGGUCUUCGGGUUGUAAACUCCUGUCAUUUGGGAACAAGCCGCUUACGUUAACUGCGUGAGCGUUGAUAGUACCAGAAGAGGAAGGGACGGCUAACUCUGUGCCAGCAGCCGCGGUAAUACAGAGGUCCCAAGCGUUGUUCGGAUUCAUUGGGCGUAAAGGGUGUGUAGGCGGCGCCGUAAGUCAGGUGUGAAAUUUCGAGGCUUAACCUCGAAACUGCAUUUGAUACUGCGGUGCUUGAGGACUGGAGAGGAGACUGGAAUUUACGGUGUAGCGGUGAAAUGCGUAGAUAUCGUAAGGAAGACCAGUGGCGAAGGCGGGUCUCUGGACAGUUCCUGACGCUGAGACACGAAGGCCAGGGGAGCAAACGGGAUUAGAUACCCCCGUAGUCC
RNAcentral lists this ribosomal RNA (448 nucleotides) under uncultured bacterium. RNAcentral's name for it is "bacterial SSU rRNA". It matches the Rfam family "Bacterial small subunit ribosomal RNA", at positions 355 to 796 of the family's 1533-position model. The record is from RNAcentral.